Pezoporus flaviventris is the source of this 5219-nucleotide long non-coding RNA. RefSeq lists it as uncharacterized. Lineage: Eukaryota; Metazoa; Chordata; Aves; Psittaciformes; Psittacidae. The record is from RefSeq and is a predicted model, not a curated record. The transcript has 3 exons.
UGAACUAGUCUCAAUUCUGGCAAUUAUUCAGCCACAGAAUUGCUGUAUUACUGCAGCUUUAUGAGGAUCUUGGUUGGAAAAGGUGUCAAGAAGGCAGGUAAAGUUUUGGUGUGAUCUCUGGCAGGGGCCCCUGCUCUGUGGGAUGAAUCAGGCAUAGAAUCCCAGAUUGGUUUGGGUUGGAAGGGACCUUAAAGCUCAUCCAGUUGCAACCCCUGCCACAGGCAGGGACACCUUCCACUAGAGCAGGAUGCUCCAAGCACAGGUACUGCUGGCAAUGGAGCUGCACUCCCUGCCUUCUGCCAGGGAUCAAGCCCUGGCUUUACAUCAUGGGAUGCUCCCAGGCUGGAGAUGUUUAUGCGGGAGCUGCUGUAGGAACCACAUAAGUUGCUCUAAACCCUGUUCUCCAUUUCCUUCUGUAUAAGCAGGAGUUAGGUUUUCUCAUCAUCAGCAGCAGCAGCACACUUUGUAUCCUGCCCCUACUGAUUCAUGGCAAUAAGAGACCCUAAGAGCAAUCCUUGUCCAAAGCAAGCAGCGUCCCGGUUAGUGCCAGCACCUUCCAGCACUGCUAUUUGGGCUUUUUCCAUGCUCUUAAUCUUAUAAAUUGAAUCGAGCCUGAUGAUAGAAGUGACUUCCUGGAUAUUGUGUAACAGCUUGUGCUUGUCAGGAUGGGAGACAAACCAACCUGACCUUGAACUCCGGCGUUUCCUCCCAGCAGGUAGGAGCUUCCAACAGCCUGCGCUGAUGCGGGGAUUGCCAGAGGAGGCUCCUGGUCUCCUCAAUGCCCUGGGACAGCAGCGAGGCUUCCAUGGCAAAGGAGCUUUGGAAAAUGCUUUGGAUUCCCCUCUAGGGACUGGAGGAUGCCCUGGAAAGCACUGCGGCAGGAAGGCAGCAGCGUGUUCCCGCUCCAGAAAGGAGGCAGAGAAGGAAUCCCGUCCCUAUCUGGCAUGGUUUAACCUCCUGGGAUUAAUUAAAGGCUUUCUCAGUUUUUCUUUCAAACCUCACAACAUUCAUCUCUCCCUCGCUGAAUAGGGAAAAGCAGAGGCAUCUUCUCUGGUGAAUCACCAGCCUGGUCCAGUGCUCAGUUUUACGUUGCAGUAAUAGCUUUUCCCUAAGGGAAUACCGUAGGAAGGGCAGACUUUGGCUUCUCACCACUGGAGCAUUACAUCAUUAACACGAGCUGGGAAUCUGAGCGGCGGGAGAAACAAAUGUCCCUAAAUCCAGCAAUCCCCCUUCCCUUGGUGCUUCUGUCCCCUCUUCCCUGCCCAUGGGUAGGGCAGGUGAUGGUGGUGGCAGAGCCAGUGUGGGGCAGGGGACCACGUGCAUGGCGAUGUUACAGGAGCAGGGAUGUGUCCUGCAUCCUCUGAGCUGCUGGCAGUGCGAGGACUGGAGACUAAUGGAGCUCUGGGACAGCGAAAUCCUUCCUUCUACAACUCAGGCUUGUGGUGAUGGAUGCAAUGGCAGGGAAGGAGCCACAUGUCUCAGUGCUCUCUGAAACACACAGGGUCUUUCAUAUGGUUUCCUAAUACCAGAGAAAGAUGAGACCCGAGUCUCUAGUUCUUGAGCAUCCUGAAGAAGCACCACAGCUCCUGGCUCAGCAAGCCCUGAGUACAUGCAUGGUCUCUAUCCACUGGCCCUGCAGACCCUCCGGCUAUGCCCUGGCUGCACAGUGUUUGUUUCCUGACCCCAUUACCUAUUCCCGUUUGCAUUUCAGCUGCUUAGGCUUGAUUCUUUUAAGCCCCCUCUAUCUGAUUAUCAGCAGCCCAGCCAGGCAGAUAGGAAGCUUCCUGCGGGAUCCCCGGCAGCGCUGCAGGAGGAUGUUUUGCCUCAUUUAUGCUCCUGGAGGUGACUGAUCGACAAAGGGGCAGCGGAGAAGUUAUGGGGGCAGUUCAAGGCUCCCCUGUGGUGCAGGCUCGUAAGUCUGGGACACUUUGCUGCGUGAUGCUUUUCCUUGCUCCCAAGGGCACGCAGGGAGAUGCAAACUUUGUUCCCAGGAGGCGUGGGUGACAGGCACCACAUGCAAACCUGCAUCCGCACCGCAGGAUGCUUCUGGGAGCAGAGAGGAGCGCGGUUGCUGCGGCUGACCAGCGCAGGGGCACGGUGGCAUGGCAGGGUAGAGCAGAUGGGUACCGAAACCCUGUGCAACCCUCCCAGGGCUGCCCUGCUCUUGCUUUGCGGUUUCCUAUUGUUGUCCUAACGCCGUCCUCCUCCUCCUCCCCCGCCCAGCUGGAUGAAGAAGCCUCCAGCUGGCCUAGGAGGCUUAUCAGCUCUGUCUGGCUGGGUGUUAACAGUCGAUUUGCAUAAGUACCUGUCCCCAUCAUAUGCUGCCUGCCUUUGUGACUCAUGUGCUUGUUUGUUUCUCCUUCAGCAGCCACGCUUGUGCUGGGCUGCUCCCAGAGGUACCAGGGCAGAUGCCACCACCCCGGGCACUGCGGGAUGGAUGCUGAGCAUCCUUCCUGGCUCACCCACUGCUCCUGCCCUGCGGGACCAGCUUGGGAAUGACCCGUGGAACUCGCUGUUUUCUCCUGGUUGUCAAGGUCCUUCCGAGUCAUCAUCGCCCAUCCCACAUCCCUCUCUGCUCGAAGCAUCCAGGAUAAGUUUGCUGCUUGGGAACAUCACUCAGGAGAUGGAGUGUCUGUGGCAACCCCCCUAUGGUUAAAAUCAACCCUGUUUGCAAAAAUAAGCACUGGUGAAUGAAGAUGAAAGGAAAACAUUGCUGUUUUCUUCCCUGGAGAUUGUAUUUCUCACUUGUUGCAUAACUGCUUAUUUUAGCAUCAAUCAGCUGAGUCUUUGUUGUGUAGACAACUCUGUCCUUUCAGAGGAUUUGUGCAGUAUUAUUUCCUUUAAAAUGCCUGGGUUUUGGUUGUUUUUAUUAUUAGAUUUAUUUCUUCUCUGGGCAAAUGCCAGCUGACAACGCCUGUAAGUGUUACAUAAAUGUCAUGCUAUGUAAGCUGAGUAUCAUGCAGAUCAUACACACGACCUUUCUGCAGAGCUAUCCUUCAGGUGUUACCUGUGUGUUUUGUUUGUCUGUGUUACAUGCAUGCACCUAUAUAUGAGUUUUGUUUAAGUGUGUAUAUAUGGUAGGCAAAAAUCUGCUAAGCUACUGACCAGGAAAGUACUCAAAAUGCAGAAAUGUCCGAACUCUUGUUGGCACAACUUUCAUCUGCACCCUAUUGUUGAAGCAGGAGAUGAUUGUAAUUGCAUGUUGACACGCUGUUUUUCUUCUGCAUCUCUAUAUGGUGUGCAGGGAGCGAGAUGCAGCGAGGGGCUCCGCAAUGCUGGCUUGUUCCUAUUGUUCAGCACACGAUGCUAGGCCUGAGCUCAGCACAUUAUCCACAUGUCUGACCACUUCUGGAUUCCGCAGCAGUAGGAAACACAGCUCCACUCUUUCUGUGUGCACUUUCCAAAGCCAGAACAAGGUGCUCCUCUUCUGCAUAGCAAAAAUGCUUAGAGGUUGCACCGAGGGAUGCUGUGACCUGCAGCACACAACCCAUCUGCACCAAGGAACUGGGUUUUGAUAUUCCAUGACCUCCUUUAGAGGGGUUGUCCAGAAGUCCUGGAGGAAUGGCCAGAAGGGCUGUAGGGUUAUGGUGCACUGCACAGGACCAUUGCCAGGUUCCUCCAGAGACAGGAUUAUUAAUUUCCUCAUGGCUUUUCCUACAGUUCUUUCCACUACCCUGCGUCAGUGCUUCAGCACCUUCAUUAAUCCUUCCCCAAACACCCGUUAUGAAGAUGGGUCAGGGUGACACAUGGAUGGAUUAAGGUCAGUUUUGACUAAUUCGGGGUAGUCCAUCUGAGGAGCAGAAUGUCUGCGUUUUCAGAGCAUUUAACAUGAUACAGCACUUCGUGCAUGCAAGCGCAGCACCCGCUGCUUCCAGCUGUACUAAGAUGGAUGUCAGCAAUUCAGGCAAAAGGUUUCAGGCUACACUGUGGGCAACACAACCCUCAGCAGCCAGAAGUUUGGUUUAAUGAGUUCGUUUGCGUUACGAAGCCUGUGGCAAGAGCAAGGAGAGAAUCCUGCUCUUUGGAAGAGUUUUAUCCUGUCCUCAGCCUGUAUGUUAAAGCCCUUUUAUCGUGCUGUGGGCAGCUUUUGGUUCUGAAGAUGGAGAUCUGGCCAAACUUUGUUUCCUAUUUGACUUACAGAGCAGGUCCAUGGGCUGCAGGUGUCAUAUGGAAAACAGAUUGUGAGUACAUAAUUAAGAACUGCAUUAGAAUAUGCACGUGCAAGAAAGCUCCAUAAAUUGGUAUGGAAUGCCUCACUUUGGAUGUUUGUGACAUUGUGACCAAGUAACACAGUGACCUUCAAAAUAUCCCUUAAGGCAGCCCGUGCACUUAGCUGAAGUGGGAUCCAUAGGUGAACUCCUGGCAGGGAGUGCACUGGGUGCCAGAGCAGCGGGGCUAACAGCUGCCAAGGCACUUAGGGCCAAUGGGGACUGACAGAAAGGGGUUGUGUUCAUGUGUCCCAUUGCUGCUGCACUACAAGGGAAGGCUUUUCUUACCUGGGGGCUGAAGUUUCAAGUGAGCUGCUGAGCAGCGCCUUGAGAGACCUCAGCAUCCAGAACCAGGCAUGAUUUUUGCUGUGCGCUGUAAGCUGCUGUUCUUUAAACCCAGUAAUAAGGCUAACUUGGGUGGGUUUAUCUAAAACACCAUAAAGGCCGUCUCACACCAAGUUGUAAGACCCUAUUUCUAGAGUUACAGUCCAAAACACCACAGCAAGCCUGAGGAUGACCGACACAAUACUCCUUUGCUUUCCGCCUUGGAAGAGCCAAAGGACUUGGAGCAUUCAGACCACAGCCUGCCGAAGCAGAAAGUUGCAGCCUAAAUUCCUUCAAGUUAGGUAAAUUAUAAGGGCUGUGCAGUGGGGAGCAUCCGCACGCCUCAUCUGUGGUGGUUCUGUGGUCCCAAUGGUUUUGAACGACCGGGAAAGCUGGCUAGCUGAAUGGAUUUACGAGACGAUGGCAGCCUGUGACUGGAAGAACAUCUUUAACCUGGAUUUAAACCUUCUGCAGCAACUGAAGCAGCGCAAGACAGCUCCUGCAACGUGUUUGACUGGAGGGCCUCUGGGACUGAAAGGAUGUGCACGGUACAGAGCAUGCCAUGCAAUUAGCACUGUUUUAACUGAAGAAAGCGGUUCUAUCUCACAGCAGCGCUGCGCUGUUGGGAAUCCUGGGGAACGAGCUCCCACAGGGCAGAGCCUGAAACUCCCCUUCGGGGGGCCUGGG